AUGACAACCCAACAGAUCCGUGCGGAUCAAAAGAAGGAUCCCGUUGUUGGUCAGCUGUUGUACUUCCAGAAUAUGAACAAGAAGCCACCACGCAAUGUGAGGAUGGGCCUAGGACAACAGGCGGGCCUUCUCUUAAAAGAGUGGAGGAAGCUAGUGGUCAGGAACGGAAUCCUGUACAGAUGUACCACCCAUUGCCGGAGGGGAGCCAUAAAGCAUCUCAUCCUACCAGAGAAGUUGCGUGUGGGGAUCAAAACUGUGCUGCAUGACGAUUCAGGACACUUAGGCUUUGAGAGGACACUUCAGUCAAUAAGGGAGAGAUUCUAUUGGCCGAAUAUGUUCGCAGAGAUCAAAGUCUGUUGUGAGCGGUGUGAAAGAUGCUGUCUCAGGAAGACUUCCACGGGUGGGGUUGGAGCCCUUCUGGUGAGCAUCCAAAGCAGUGCCCCAUUGGAACUUGUGUGCGUGGACUUUCUCUGCCCGGAAAAGUCAAAGGGGGGCAUCGAGAAUGUACUAGUGGUGACGGACAACUUCUUGCGUUAUGCUCAGGCCCAACUCACCAAAGACCAGAAAGCUGCCACAGUAGCCAAGGUUCUUUGGAAGAACUUCUUCUGCAGGUUUGGGUUUCCGGCCAAGUUAUAUGCGUAUCAGGGGGCGGAACUUCGAGAGUGCAAUUGUAAAAGAGCUGUGCAGGAUCACAGGCAACACCAAGACCCACACCACUCCCCAUACCACCCACAGGGCAAUGGGACCACAGAACAUUUCAACCGGGCACUGAUGAACAUGUUGGGAACUCUGAAGCCCCACCUGAAACCAAGGUGGCAUGAACAUGUGGACGCCAUGACUCAUGCAUAUAACUACACACGACAUGACUCGACUGGAUACAUACCCUACCAUCUGAUGUUUGGGAGACAUCCCAGGCUCCCAAUAGACCUGGUUUUUGGGACUUCAUCCCAUAAUAACCAAGGGGGAUACAGCGAGUAUGUGCAAACGCUGCAUGAUUGUUUGGUGGAGGCAUGA
Molecule: long non-coding RNA, 1014 nt
Filed under: Nothobranchius furzeri (turquoise killifish)
Lineage: Eukaryota; Metazoa; Chordata; Actinopteri; Cyprinodontiformes; Nothobranchiidae
Description: lncRNA (ENSNFUG00015024159.1)
Source: RNAcentral